Molecule: ribosomal RNA, 327 nt
Filed under: uncultured Pseudomonadota bacterium
Lineage: Bacteria; Pseudomonadati; Pseudomonadota
Description: bacterial SSU rRNA
Rfam family: Bacterial small subunit ribosomal RNA
Source: RNAcentral
AGUGAACGCUGGCGGCAGGCCUAACACAUGCAAGUCGAACGGCAGCACAGCAGUAGCAAUACUGUGGGUGGCGAGUGGCGGACGGGUGAGGAAUACAUCGGAAUCUGCCUAGUCGUGGGGGAUAACGUAGGGAAACUUACGCUAAUACCGCAUACGACCUACGGGUGAAAGCGGGGGAUCGCAAGACCUCGCGCGAUUAGAUGAGCCGAUGUCCGAUUAGCUAGUUGGCGGGGUAAGAGCCCACCAAGGCGACGAUCGGUAGCUGGUCUGAGAGGAUGAUCAGCCACACUGGAACUGAGACACGGUCCAGACUCCUACGGGUGGCAG